AAUCUUCCACAAUGGACGAAAGUCUGAUGGAGCAACGCCGCGUGAGCGAAGAAGGUUNNNGGAUCNUCAAGCUCUGUUGCGCGNGAANAACAAGUACGGGAGUAACUGCUCGUACCUUGACGGUACCUCAUUAGAAAGCCACGGCUAACUACGUUCCAGCAGCCGCGGUAAUACGUAGGUGGCAAGCGUUGUCCGGAAUUAUUGGGCGUAAAGCACGCGCAGGAGGCCUUUUAAGUCUGAUGUGAAAGCCCACGGCUCCACCGUGGAAGGUCAUUGGAAACUGGAAGGCUUGAGUACAGAAGAGGAAAGCGGAAUUCCACGUGUAGCGGUGAAAUGCGUAGAGAUGUGGAGGAACACCAGUGGCGAAGGCGGCUUUCUGGUCUGUAACUGACGCUGAGGCGCGAAAGCGUGGGGAGCAAGCA
Molecule: ribosomal RNA, 422 nt
Filed under: uncultured bacterium
Lineage: Bacteria
Description: partial 16S ribosomal RNA
Rfam family: Bacterial small subunit ribosomal RNA
Source: RNAcentral